This 258-nucleotide ribosomal RNA is filed under the name uncultured bacterium. RNAcentral describes it as "partial 16S ribosomal RNA". It matches the Rfam family "Bacterial small subunit ribosomal RNA", at positions 94 to 353 of the family's 1533-position model. The record is from RNAcentral.
AGUGGCGGACGGGUGAGUAAUGUCUGGGAAACUGCCUGAUGGAGGGGGAUAACUACUGGAAACGGUAGCUAAUACCGCAUAACGUCGCAAGACCAAAGGGGGGGACCCUCGGGCCUCUUGCCAUCGGAUGUGCCCAGAUGGGAUUAGCUUGUUGGUGGGGUAACGGCUCACCAAGGCGACGAUCCCUAGCUGGUCUGAGAGGAUGACCAGCCACACUGGAACUGAGACACGGUCCAGACUCCUACGGGAGGCAGCAUG